GAGCGUCUGGCAACUUCUCAGCGU
Molecule: non-coding RNA, 24 nt
Filed under: Arabidopsis thaliana (thale cress)
Lineage: Eukaryota; Viridiplantae; Streptophyta; Magnoliopsida; Brassicales; Brassicaceae
Source: RNAcentral